This 24-nucleotide non-coding RNA is filed under the name Gossypium hirsutum (cotton). The record is from RNAcentral. Lineage: Eukaryota; Viridiplantae; Streptophyta; Magnoliopsida; Malvales; Malvaceae.
AAAAGAUGCCUAUGACUAACUGAA